This 252-nucleotide ribosomal RNA is filed under the name uncultured bacterium. RNAcentral describes it as "partial 16S ribosomal RNA". It matches the Rfam family "Bacterial small subunit ribosomal RNA", at positions 524 to 776 of the family's 1533-position model. The record is from RNAcentral.
UACGAAGGGGGCUAGCGUUGUUCGGAUUUACUGGGCGUAAAGCGCACGUAGGCGGAUUGGUCAGUUAGGGGUGAAAUCCUGGAGCUCAACUCCAGAACUGCCUUUAAUACUGCCAGUCUCGAGUCCGGAAGAGGUAAGUGGAACUCCUAGUGUAGAGGUGGAAUUCGUAGAUAUUAGGAAGAACACCAGUGGCGAAGGCGGCUACUGGUCCGGUACUGACGCUGAGGUGCGAAAGCGUGGGGAGCAAACAGG